AGGGGCGUAGCCAAGCGGUAAGGCAGCAGGUUUUGAUCCUGCCAUGCGUUGGUUCGAGUCCAGCCGCCCCUG
RNAcentral lists this transfer RNA (72 nucleotides) under Ventosimonas gracilis. It matches the Rfam family "tRNA". Rfam says of the family: Transfer RNA (tRNA) molecules are approximately 80 nucleotides in length. Lineage: Bacteria; Pseudomonadati; Pseudomonadota; Gammaproteobacteria; Pseudomonadales; Ventosimonadaceae. The record is from Rfam by way of RNAcentral.